UAUCUCUGUAGAGUCUGCAUAUCAAUAAGCGGAGGAAAAGAAACUAACAAGGAUUCCCUUAGUAACGGCGAGUGAAGCGGGAAGAGCUCAAAUUUGAAAUCUUCAAGGUUUUACCUUGACGAAUUGUAGUUUAAAGAAGUGUUUUCUGUUGAAGUUUCGGUAAAAGUUCUUUGGAAUAGGACAUCAUAGAGGGUGAGAAUCCCGUAUUUGACCAUUAUUUCCAGCUUUGUGAUACACUUUCAAAGAGUCGGAUUGUUUGGGAAUGCAGUCCAAAAUGGGUGGUAAAUUUCAUCUAAAGCUAAAUAUUGGCGAGAGACCGAUAGCGAACAAGUACCGUGAGGGAAAGAUGAAAAGAACUUUGAAAAGAGAGUUAAACAGUACGUGAAAUUGUCAAAAGGGAAGCGUUUGACACCAGUGUUGUUUUCUCGAAAAUCAAUUAAAAAAGGCAGGAUUUUGUGUUGUAUUGACUUUAUCAGCUUUCUGCACUCUUUUCUUGUCUUUUUUAAUGCACUUUUCGUUUAACAAGUCAACAUCAAUUUCUUUUGUUGUAAAAGAGUCAUUGGAAGGUGGCUUUCACUUCGGUGAAAGUGUUUAUAGCCUUUGGCUUCUGCAAUCGGAGAGAUUGAGGUCUGCAGCGUAGAUCCUUCGGGGCUAGAUACGUAGAUGCUAAGUUAUAGUUUUUUAUAGACAACUUGUUGACUAUAAUUAAUCAUGUAGCUUACUCGUUUGCGCUAUUUUACCUACGCUUAGGAUGUUGAAGAUGUAGCACAUCAU
Molecule: ribosomal RNA, 774 nt
Filed under: uncultured Neocallimastigales
Lineage: Eukaryota; Fungi; Neocallimastigomycota; Neocallimastigomycetes; Neocallimastigales
Description: partial large subunit ribosomal RNA
Rfam family: Eukaryotic large subunit ribosomal RNA
Source: RNAcentral